UACGGAAGGGAGCAGCGUUACUCGGAAUUACUGGGCGUAAAGCGUGCGUAGGUGGUUUGUUAAGUCUGAUGUGAAAGCCCUGGGCUCAACCUGGGAAUUGCAUUGGAUACUGGCAGGCUAGAGUGCGGUAGAGGGUAGUGGAAUUCCCGGUGUAGCAGUGAAAUGCGUAGAGAUCGGGAGGAACACCAGUGGCGAAGGCGACUACCUGGACCAGCACUGACACUGAGGCACGAAAGCGUGGGGAGCAAACAGG
Molecule: ribosomal RNA, 253 nt
Filed under: uncultured bacterium
Lineage: Bacteria
Description: partial 16S ribosomal RNA
Rfam family: Bacterial small subunit ribosomal RNA
Source: RNAcentral